GUCUGUUGCUUAUAAAUAUAAUUUAUUACCUGUUUAAAAAUUCUUUCUUACACUUUGUACAUGUCAGGCUGACAGAAAUAAAUGCAGGCAAUUUACAAAUAGAAGAGGUCAACUGAGGGAAGUUUUGGAGAUGAAGGAGGGCAAAAAGGGAGAAAGGGGAAUCCAGAGAGAGAGAGGCACACCCAGAACUAGUAAACCACAUCUCCACUGUACAGCAGUACAAAGAAUGCAAUGCCUAGAGAGCACUUCUCUGUUAGGAAUUCUUUAUAAAAGGAAUUGCAUAGAAGAUACAGCAAUAGGAAAAUCCAUCACAACAAAAGAAAUGUUCCAUAUUUGAAAAGCCAAGGUAAAAGGAAGAAAAUAACAUCAAAAUACAACCAAAUGAAAAUGAAACCCAACCCCCUGAAGAUAUAUUUCUGAGAUUUAACUAUGCCAUGUGAGCUUUAAGAUACACUUUUCCACCAGUACAACCUUCAAUAGACAUUUUCUUUGCAAGUGUCAGUUGUCAAGGGGAGGGUCACCAGCUAACAGUUAGGUCCAUUUAAAACUCAAUGAAUACAUAUAAUGCUCUGUGGCAUCAAACACAAACUCAGAAGGACAGUGGUCCUUGCUCUAUGGUGAUGUGCAUUCUUUCACGUGGGUGAAGGAUUUAUCCAGAAAUACUCAGUCUGAGAGAAGAAACAAGGGGAGAAUGCAAGUCAUAUUUUCACUCUGUAUAACCAUUUCAUUUCUUUUUCAGGAUGAUAUGAUGUGAGAAUGCAUUAAGGUUAAUUCCCACACUGCCACAUGGGUUGGAUGCUAAGGAAAUUUUUGUUGGAUUGAGUGGAAUGAUGACUUGAUUUCUGUCAUGUUAGCCAUAAGUAGAAUUGAAAAGCUCAAAUAUGUUUUUGUUGUUUUUAAGUCAUUCUCAUUCUCUUGCCAUUGCUUAUUAUUUUUAAGCAUUUCCAUUGCUAAAUUCACUUCACCUCUCUAGUAGUCUCCUCAUCUGCAAAAUGAGAGAUUUGAGCUAGGUUAGAUCUAAGGCUCCUUCCAGUUCUGAUGAUGUUAUGAUUUAGAAAUAGACACUUUUUUCAAAUUAUAGCUCAGUAGUGUUGAUCAGAUUCAAAACUCAGCCAGAGAUCCCAGAUAAACAAGAUGCUAACUCUGAAGAAUUUCAAAGAAAUAGAAAUUUUUUGGUUCAGUCCUGAUUUCCUGCUCUAUUCCUGCUGAUCACUGAAGCUUCCUAAUAGCAUUAUCUGAAUGGAUCAAUCAUUCUUCAGGGUCAAUUAUCACUUUGUGAACUGAUAAUGUUUCAUGGGCAGAUACAUUUGGGGAAUUAUUUGCAAAGAUAUCUGAGCUCACUUGAAACAGAGAAAAAAUCCUGAAAUACAAAUUGAUCUGGUUCAGUGAACACAAUAUUCUUGCCACAAAUCAAAAGGAUUUGGAAGGACACCAAUUAAGAUAUGGUAUCUAUCUUUGUCUCUUAAGAAUCUGAUGAGUAUGCUAAAAGGAUUUUAACCUUGAUAGGCUAGAAAUACAAGCAAAGGAAAAAAGAAGAGUCUGGCAGUUAUCUGGUAAAUUUAGGCUAUAAAGAUAGCUCAUAUAGAAAAUAUUUGAGUUCAUAUUCCCUCUAUUCUAGAGUUUAGAAUUUUAUAAAUACUGACCUCCACUUUGCUUGUGUAAACAUAGUCUUAAAUUAAUUUUGGUAACAUGAUUAUACCUUUCUCCUCAUCUAAACCCUCUGUGAUUUCUUAUCUUAUUAGGUUGUUAUUCUUUAGCACCAGAGGAAAAAUGGAAUUUUAUUCUAUGGACUACUAUCACAGAAGCUUCUCUCCAAAGAGAAACUGUAACCUUUUAAAUCAUAUAUUCUGAGGAAUAGUAUCCCCAACUAUACAGUGAUGUAAAUUUUUCAAAGUAC
RNAcentral lists this long non-coding RNA (1897 nucleotides) under Sarcophilus harrisii (Tasmanian devil). RNAcentral describes it as "lncRNA (ENSSHAG00000024370.1)". Lineage: Eukaryota; Metazoa; Chordata; Mammalia; Dasyuromorphia; Dasyuridae. The record is from RNAcentral.